GAUGAAGAACGCAGCGAAAUGCGAUAAGUAAUGUGAAUUGCAGAAUUCAGUGAAUCAUCGAAUCUUUGAACGCACAUUGCGCCCGCUAGUAUUCUGGCGGGCAUGCCUGUUCGAGCGUCAUUUCAACCAUCAAGCUCCUUAGCUUGUGUUGGGGACCUGCGGCUGCCGCAGCCCCCGAAAUGCAGUGGCGGGCUCGUUGUCACACCGAGUGCAGUAAUCAUUCUUCUCUCCGGGCGUGGCGGCGGGUUCCGGCCGUAAAGUCACCAAUUUAUCAAGGUUGACCUCGGAUCAGGUAGGAAUACCCGCUGAACUUAAGCAUAUCAAUAAGCGGAGGA
Molecule: unclassified non-coding RNA, 335 nt
Filed under: soil metagenome
Description: partial contains 5.8S ribosomal RNA, internal transcribed spacer 2, and large subunit ribosomal RNA
Rfam family: 5.8S ribosomal RNA (bases 1-120)
Source: RNAcentral